GGGGACGUUCUGGAUUCGACAGGGGUUGGUUGAGCAUUUUAAGCGUGUCGGAGGUUUCGACUCCGUCAUCAACGAUAACAGUUAUAAUAACUGGCAAACAAAACAAUUUAGUAGCUGCUUAAUUCAGCUACAUCAUCUCUUAUGUAAUCCUACGGCAUAUUGAGAUGAUUCAAAUUUAGUAGGAUAUGCAUACUCUCUGCAGUCUGAAGGGUGUAUGAAGAACUUAAGCAGACUAGCUUAAAUUCAGGUUCGUUCGGUACCAGGAUUUUUGCGAAAUUUAAACUAGAACUACACACGUAGAAAGAAAUGUGGCAAGACCCUUGGACGCGGGUUCGACUCCCGCCGUCUCCA
This 351-nucleotide transfer-messenger RNA is filed under the name Phocicoccus schoeneichii. RNAcentral's name for it is "Jeotgalicoccus schoeneichii transfer-messenger RNA". It matches the Rfam family "transfer-messenger RNA". From Rfam's summary of the family: Bacterial tmRNA, also known as 10Sa RNA or SsrA, is named for its dual tRNA and mRNA-like properties. Its role is to liberate the mRNA from a stalled ribosome. Lineage: Bacteria; Bacillati; Bacillota; Bacilli; Caryophanales; Salinicoccaceae. The record is from RNAcentral.